AGCGAACGCUGGCGGCAGGCCUAACACAUGCAAGUCGAACGAACCUUUCGGGGUUAGUGGCGGACGGGUGAGUACCACGUGGGAACGUGCCUUUAGGUUCGGAAUAACUCAGGGAAACUUGUGCUAAUACCGCAUGUGCCCUUCGGGGGAAAGAUUAAUCGCCUUUAGAGCGGCCCGCGUCUGAUUAGCUAGUUGGUUGAGGUAAUGGCUCACCAAGGCGACGAUCAGUAGCUGGUCUGAGAGGAUGAUCAGCCACAUUGGGACUGAGACACGGCCCAAACUCCUACGGGAGGCAGCAGUGGGGAAUCUUGCGCAAUGGGCGAAAGCCUGACGCAGCCAUGCCGCGUGAAUGAUGAAGGUCUUAGGAUUGUAAAAUUCUUUCACCGGGGACGAUAAUGACGGUACCCGGAGAAGAAGCCCCGGCUAACUUCGUG
This 434-nucleotide ribosomal RNA is filed under the name uncultured bacterium. RNAcentral's name for it is "partial 16S ribosomal RNA". It matches the Rfam family "Bacterial small subunit ribosomal RNA", at positions 29 to 507 of the family's 1533-position model. The record is from RNAcentral.